RNAcentral lists this signal recognition particle RNA (264 nucleotides) under Candidatus Epulonipiscium sp. RNAcentral's name for it is "signal recognition particle sRNA large type". It matches the Rfam family "Bacterial large signal recognition particle RNA". Rfam says of the family: The signal recognition particle (SRP) is a universally conserved ribonucleoprotein involved in the co-translational targeting of proteins to membranes. Archaeal SRP consists of a 7S RNA and homologues of the eukaryotic SRP19 and SRP54 proteins. In most bacteria, the SRP consists of a 4.5S RNA and the Ffh protein (a homologue of the eukaryotic SRP54 protein). The record is from RNAcentral. Lineage: Bacteria; Bacillati; Bacillota; Clostridia; Lachnospirales; Lachnospiraceae.
CCGUGCUAGCCGGGGAGGUAGCGGCGCCCUGUACCUACAAUCCGCUAUAGUAGGGGUGAUGCCUGUUCUAGGGAUGUGUUUUUUAUGGCCUGCCUUUUUAAGUCGGUGUUGAGGGCUGAGUCCUGUGCAACAGAAACUUAUGAAUCGUGUCAGGGUCGGAAGGCAGCAGCACUAAGUAGGCACUUCUGUGUGCCGCAGGGGUGCUUGGUCUGAGUCGAUGAGAGAAGUAACGCAUAGGAAACCAUCACAAAAACAGGUGCACGG